RNAcentral lists this long non-coding RNA (1759 nucleotides) under Homo sapiens (human). RNAcentral describes it as "HSALNT0405100". The record is from RNAcentral. Lineage: Eukaryota; Metazoa; Chordata; Mammalia; Primates; Hominidae.
CAAAACUCGGAGCAAGCAAUGCAGAUAAAUGUUAUGUGAUUGUGACACGGGGUUGUCUUAAACCCAUGAUACAAUCAAAUAGAUGAUGUGAGCAUGUUCUUAUCCAAUGAAAGACCUCAGGCUAAUACAGGAGGUGAAAUACAGUGACCCUCACAGAGAGAUUCCCACCUAGAUCAUAUUCUGGUGGAAUUUUCAACCCUCAGAUAACCCUACAAACCAGGGACUGUUCAACCACAUCCUGUGGCCAUCCCUGGCCUGACACCUGUUUUUGUAUGGCCUAGAGCUGACAGUGGCUUUUAUCAUUUUAAAUGGUUACAUUGUAAAUGAUGCUAUACAUACCUAUGGAAUAUCCCCAAAGUUGAUUCUUGAGCCACAAAGACUAAAAUACUUCCUUUUAAAAUUUAUUUUUAUGUUCUUUAAUUUAAUAGAGAUGAGAGUUCACUGUGUGGCCCGGACUAAUCUCAACUCCUGGGAGCAAGCAAUUGACCCAUCCUACCCUUCCAACACACUUGGGAUUACAGGCGUGAGCCACGGUGUCCGGCCACGAAGAUUAAAAUUCUUCUUAUCUGGAUAUUUAAGAAAAAGUUUCCCAAAUCCUAAAAAAGAAAAAGUACUGAACUAUUUCUGAAAAGGCCCAAACUUAAGCAGAACAGGAGACUCAAAAAUAAAACCAUAACAGGUAUCAUUUUUGAGUCUGACAGGUUGGCAAAAACUUCCACUUUCAACAAUGUACUCUGAACAAGUACUUCCGGCUGGCAUUGAAAAUUGGUAGAAUCCCUCUGGAGGGGAAUCUGACAACAACGGGUGAAAAUUACACACACACAUCUUUCUGACCCUCAAUUUCACUUUUAGAAAUGAAUCCUGUGGUCAUAUUCACACAGGAACUCAAAGGAGGCUGCACAGGGAUGUUCGCUGCAUUGUUAUUUAAGAUCAAAGUUGUGGCGAUAACCAUCAGAAUGUAGUUGCUAAAAUUCUACCCACAGUGUGGGAGAUGGUGAUGCAUGUAGGGUGAAGACAUCCCUGAAAAAAGCAGUGACUGCAUCAAUCAGGAAGCUCCUUGUCACUGUCCCUGCAUUUGAAGAGCUAACAAGAGUUGCACAUUCAGGGACCGCGGCACACAAGCAUCAGGAAGCUGUCCCUGUCCUGGAUGAGAAACCACAGAGCGGGUUUCCUUUUGGAAUUCAUGGUGGAAAGGGAAGGAGCUGAGAGAGAAGAAUUCUCAAGGCCGCACUGCAGGAAGCCGCUUGCACUGGAGUCAUCUCUGAAACCAUGACAAGUGCAUAGAGCAGCUAUUUGAGCACCAGGAAAGGAAAUGGUACGCAGCAGUUUGGGAUGGCCCCAGCAGAUGAAAUACAACAGGGUCGGUGUGAGACUUCUGGAUUUCCUCUGUGUCCCCUGGCUGGGAUCCAGACAGCCUCAGGCCUGGAGGGGCACAAACCUGAAAACAAAAAGAAGUCCGGAAAGUCCUCUUGCUCAGGAUUGAAGAUAGGAAAAGAAGCUUGUUUGGCUCAAAGUGAAGGCUCAGUCCCCUGCACAAGCAGGUGGUUCACACCUGUGUUCUCAUCUCUCUUACACCAGCGCCUCUCCCUGGGUUCACACCAAUGUCCUAUGGAUGGAGAUGGGGCUUCCUGCACCAGGUCACUCCUCAGCCACUGUAACCUGAAGGGGUGCAGACCAGCACUGUUCAUUCACAAUAUGAUGUGAGCCUCAUGGAAAUCUGAAUGUCUAGUCAUCGCAUUAAAAAUACAAAGGGAAGAAG